This 253-nucleotide ribosomal RNA is filed under the name uncultured bacterium. RNAcentral describes it as "partial 16S ribosomal RNA". It matches the Rfam family "Bacterial small subunit ribosomal RNA", at positions 524 to 776 of the family's 1533-position model. The record is from RNAcentral.
UACAGAGGGUGCAAGCGUUAAUCGGAAUUACUGGGCGUAAAGCGUGCGUAGACGGUUAUGUAAGUCGGGUGUGAAAGCCCCGGGCUCAACCUGGGAAUGCCAUUCGAAACUGCAUAGCUAGGGUGCGGAAGAGGGAAGCGGAAUUUCCGGUGUAGCGGUGAAAUGCGUAGAUAUCGGAAGGAACACCAGUGGCGAAAGCGGCUUCCUGGUCCAGCACCGACGUUCAGGUACGAAAGCAUGGGGAGCAAACAGG